GGACACUCUCCUUUACUGAGUCCACCAGUUCAAAUGCUAAUCUUAUCCUGAAACACCAUGACGGCGCCCUGUGACCAGUCAAGUUGCCGUGUAAAAUAACCUUGACAGCUGUUAUAAACAUCCCUGUGCAGAUUUUUAUGUGGACAUAAGGCUCAACUCCUUUGGAUAAAUGCCAGACAAUUCAGCAGAGGACUCCAAGACCCAAGGCGAUGAUGGAACCAGGAGAUAUGAAGACGCAGGGUCCCUGAAUCACCACUUGAAAGCAGACAUCUAGAAGACCCAAUGGAACGGGUACCCCAUACUGUUUGGUUGUAACAGGAAAUUUGGAUACACGGAGAGAGACACCAGGGAUGAGCAUGCACAGAGGAAAGACCAUGUGAAGACACAGCGAGGAGGUGGCCACUGCAAGGAAAGGAGAGAGGCCUCAGGAGAAACCAACCCUGCUGACGCCUCCAUCUUGGACAUCUGGCCUCAAGAACUGUAGGGCAUAUUAGCUAGCAGACCGGUGCUUCCUAAUAGGACAACUAGAAAAUUUAUAUAAAAAUGCGCAAGUUUUCUACAUGAGGGCG
RNAcentral lists this long non-coding RNA (569 nucleotides) under Equus caballus (horse). Its description in RNAcentral is "lncRNA (ENSECAG00000041800.2)". Lineage: Eukaryota; Metazoa; Chordata; Mammalia; Perissodactyla; Equidae. The record is from RNAcentral.